RNAcentral lists this ribosomal RNA (468 nucleotides) under uncultured bacterium. RNAcentral's name for it is "partial 16S ribosomal RNA". It matches the Rfam family "Bacterial small subunit ribosomal RNA", at positions 28 to 507 of the family's 1533-position model. The record is from RNAcentral.
GACGAACGCUGGCGGCGUGCUUAACACAUGCAAGUCGAACGGAAAGGCCCUGCUUUUGUGGGGUGCUCGAGUGGCGAACGGGUGUGUAACACGUGUGUAACCUGCCCUUGACUUUGGGAUAACUUCAGGAAACUGGGGCUAAUACCGGAUAGGCGCUCCUGCUGCAUGGGGGGGGUUGGAAAGUUUCGGCGGUUGGGGAUGGACUCGCGGCUUAUCAGCUUGUUGGUGGGGUAGUGGCUUACCAAGGCGUUGACGGGUAGCCGGCCUGAGAGGGUGACCGGCCACAUUGGGACUGAGAUACGGCCCAGACUCCUACGGGAGGCAGCAGUGGGGAAUAUUGCACAAUGGGCGGAAGCCUGAUGCAGCAACGCCGCGUGCGGGAUGACGGCCUUCGGGUUGUAAACCGCUUUCGCCUGUGACGAAGCGUGAGUGACGGUAAUGGGUAAAGAAGCACCGGCUAACUACGUG